CGGGCCCCACAACAGUCCCAGCCCCAAGAAAGUGCUGCAUGCAGCCAGGCUCGAUGGCUCACGCCUGUAAUUCUAGCACUUUGAAGGCCGAGGCGGGCAGAUUGCCUGAGCUCAGGAGUUUGAGACCAGCCUGGGCAACACGGUGAAACCCCAUCUCUACUAAAGUACAAAAAAUUAGCCAGGCGUGGCGGCAUGCGCCUGUAGUCCCAGCUACUCGGGAGGCUGAGGCAGGAGAAUCGCUUGAACCCGGGAGGCAGAGUUUGCAGUGAGCUGAGAUCACGCCACUGCACUCCAACCUGGUGACAGAGCAAGACUCCAUUUCAAAAAAAAAAAAAAAGAGUGCUGCAUGCAGUGUCUGGAGGGCAGCAGCAGGGGGCAUUCGGUCUCCCAUCCCUCUUGUCCUGGGCACCAAGCGUAAGCUGCCGUCACCUCUUCACCAGCCCUAAAUAUGGGUGCCCCUCUCCCACAGAACCUGUCUCCAGAGAAGAUUUUCCACGUCAUUGUGGCCCCUUGUUAUGACAAGAAGCUGGAGGCUCUUCAGGAAAGCCUUCCCCCUGCUUUGCAUGGCUCCCGGGGCGCUGACUGCGUGUUAACAUCAGGUGAAAUUGCUCAAAUAAUGGAGCAAGGUGACCUCUCAGUGAGAGAUGCUGCCGUCGACACUCUGUAAGUGGCUUCUCUGGGGAGAGUCCUCUGGGGGGCAGGACCUCUCGUCAGCCCUGCCAGCCACCUGCCAGGCCCAGGGCUGCCCUGCUUUAUGACGAGGCCAUGUGAAGCACUGCGAUGCAGUCCCCCAGGCCCCUGCCACAACCCUCAGCCACCCUAUAGCUGUUGAAUGGGAUACCAUUCACCAGGGCUGCCAGGGAGUUGAAGGCUUGGCGGGCUUCCAUGGUGUGAUUGCCACCCUAAACCCUUGAGGAAGGACAAAAUGCACAAACAGCUUUGUCCUCGCUGGCGCAGGGCUGUUCAUGUGUGCACCAGCCCCCUUCUUCCUGAGUGCCGUCUGUGCCUCACAUUCCGUGUGGUCUAUGGGGCAGUGGGGCAGCUCCCUCAGGCCCCUUUGCACCAAGAGUGGCAGUCUGGGUUCUGCUGGGGGCGGUGACCUCGAUACCCAGCAAGGCCCAGGGCUCCUGCUGCACCCCAGGCACUGGACAGAGAGCACCACAAAGGCAGUGGCGUGUGUCCUCGCCAACAGUCCGCAUCCCAGGUGCUGCAUUCGUGCCCUUUUGGGGGAAGGUAAGAUAGAAGUUUACAGAAUUUAAGCAUCUGUGGGGCCAGGCGUGGUGGCUCACACCUAUAAUCACAGUACUUUGGGAGGCUGAGGUAGGAGGAUCGCUUGAGUCCAGGAGGCUGGGGCUGUAGUGAGCUAUGAUUGUGCCACUGCACUCCAGCCUGAGAGACAGAACAAGACCCUGUCUCCAAAAGAAAAAGACCAUAAGCAUCUGGAGCACCUGCAAGAGCCUGUGCAUGGGCUCGGCGUGACUGAGAGUCCUCCGCCUGGCCCGAGCAUCAGGCAGGCCCUCCCAAGACCCCUCAAGAUGCUAGAAUGGGACUUUCUGCAAAGUUUAAACAUCUGUACAGGAUUUAGCUUCUUUGGUGGCAAACUUGGAUUGUGAUGCCCUCAGGAAGUCUGGUUUCACUCUUUCUGUCACUGUACGUCGGCAUUCAUGAAGGACUUGUAUUUUCUCUGCCUGGUGAGGUUUGGAGACUUGAAGGAGGACAAGGUGACGCGCCAUGAUGGAGCCAGCUCGGACGGGCACCUGGCACACAUCUUCAGACAUGCGGCCAAGGAGCUGUUCAACGAGGAUGUGGAGGAGGUCACUUACCGAGCCCUGAGAAACAAAGACUUCCAAGAGGUCACCCUUGAGAAGAACGGAGAGGUGGUGUUACGCUUUGCUGCAGCCUAUGGCUUUCGAAACAUCCAGAACAUGAUCCUGAAGCUUAAGAAGGGCAAGUUCCCAUUCCACUUUGUGGAGGUCCUCGCCUGUGCUGGAGGAUGCUUAAAUGGCAGAGGCCAAGCCCAGACUCCAGACGGACAUGCGGAUAAGGCCCUGCUGCGGCAGAUGGAAGGCAUUUACGCUGACAUCCCUGUGCGGCGUCCAGAGUCCAGUGCACACGUGCAGGAGCUGUACCAGGAGUGGCUGGAGGGGAUCAACUCCCCCAAGGCCCGAGAGGUGCUGCAUACCACGUACCAGAGCCAGGAGCGUGGCGCACACAGCCUGGACAUCAAGUGGUGAAGUGAGGCCAGGGCCUUCCAGCUGCUCUUGGGGCCAGAGCCAAGAGCCUCUCAGUAGAGGGAGGGGCUGCCCUGAGUGGAGUAUUAAAGACACUUAAGAAAACCG
RNAcentral lists this small RNA (2339 nucleotides) under Pan troglodytes (chimpanzee). RNAcentral's name for it is "retained intron". Lineage: Eukaryota; Metazoa; Chordata; Mammalia; Primates; Hominidae. The record is from RNAcentral.